RNAcentral lists this ribosomal RNA (465 nucleotides) under uncultured Alphaproteobacteria bacterium. RNAcentral's name for it is "bacterial SSU rRNA". It matches the Rfam family "Bacterial small subunit ribosomal RNA", at positions 9 to 521 of the family's 1533-position model. The record is from RNAcentral. Lineage: Bacteria; Pseudomonadati; Pseudomonadota; Alphaproteobacteria.
GAGUUUGAUCUUGGCUCAGAACGAACGCUGGCGGCAUGCCUAACACAUGCAAGUCGAACGAGACCUUCGGGUCUAGUGGCGCACGGGUGCGUAACGCGUGGGAAUCUGCCCUUGGGUUCGGAAUAACAGUUAGAAAUGACUGCUAAUACCGGAUGAUGACUUCGGUCCAAAGAUUUAUCGCCCAGGGAUGAGCCCGCGUAGGAUUAGCUUGUUGGUGAGGUAAAAGCUCACCAAGGCGACGAUCCUUAGCUGGUCUGAGAGGAUGAUCAGCCACACUGGGACUGAGACACGGCCCAGACUCCUACGGGAGGCAGCAGUGGGAAUAUUGGACAAUGGGCGAAAGCCUGAUCCAGCAAUGCCGCGUGAGUGAUGAAGGCCUUAGGGUUGUAAAGCUCUUUUACCCGGGAUGAUAAUGACAGUACCGGGAGAAUAAGCCCCGGCUAACUCCGUGCCAGCAGCCGCCGU